GCCUGUCAAAGCUAGAAAAGGAAAAGAAAAGGUUCUCCCCUGGAGCCUCCCUAAGGAAUGCAGCUCUGUCAGCAUCCCGAGUUUAGCCCAGGGAGACCCUUUUCAGACUUCUAACCUUCAGAACUUAAAGGUAAUAAAUCUGUAUGGUCUUAAGCCAUUAUGCGGAGAAGGCAAUGGCACCCCACUCCAGUGUUCUUGCCUGGAAAAUCCCAUAGAUGGAGGAGCCUGGUGGGCUGCUGUCUGUGGGGUCGCACAGAGUCGGACACGAGUGAAGCGACUUAGCAGCAUCAGCCAACCAUUAUGUUUCUGACCCCAAUUUCCACUCAUUAUCAGAGAGCUGAAUUCUAAAUCAACGAUUGUGGAGAAGAGAUGUGCAAGUUGAAUAAAACAUUUCCAGAACAGCCUGAAUAAUGGUCCUGAAUAAAGGGAACUGAAAUGUUCUUGAAUUGUAAUUGGAAAAAAUUCAAGUGUGUGUACUCAGGAGCACAUCUACUAAGAAGAGUCACCAGCCUUACGAUGCCACAGGCAGGCACAGACACAGAACUAUACCCACCGGAAGGGAGGAGGCAUGUGUCUAUGGAAGAAAACUGGGAUGUUCUUAUAACCUCCUGCAGAAUCUGCCAAAUGCACGUGAGUGGUUUCACCUCUUCAGAUCAUCUCCUGCGGCUAAGCGCUGAGAGAAAGAUCAGCUACCUAAUUUUCCAGGCUUGGUGCAAGUCGAAAAUGUAGGACCUCUUUCUUCGAAUAGCGGGAAACAAAUGCUAAACAAGGUAUGUCAAAUAAAAUCCCUUUCUUCUGUGCUGCUUCUACCUCU
Molecule: long non-coding RNA, 814 nt
Filed under: Bos indicus x Bos taurus (hybrid cattle)
Lineage: Eukaryota; Metazoa; Chordata; Mammalia; Artiodactyla; Bovidae
Description: lncRNA (ENSBIXG00005030144.1)
Source: RNAcentral